RNAcentral lists this ribosomal RNA (465 nucleotides) under uncultured bacterium. RNAcentral's name for it is "partial 16S ribosomal RNA". It matches the Rfam family "Bacterial small subunit ribosomal RNA", at positions 28 to 507 of the family's 1533-position model. The record is from RNAcentral.
GAUGAACGCUGGCGGCGUGCUUAACACAUGCAAGUCGAACGGAAAGGCUCCUGCUUGCAGGGGUACUCGAGUGGCGAACGGGUGAGUAACACGUGGGUGAUCUGCCCUGCACUUCGGGAUAAGCCUGGGAAACUGGGUCUAAUACCGGAUAGGACCACAUUCUGGAUGGUGUGGUGGAAAGUUUUUCGGUGUGGGAUGAGCUCGCGGCCUAUCAGCUUGUUGGUGGGGUAAUGGCCUACCAAGGCGUCGACGGGUAGCCGGCCUGAGAGGGUGUACGGCCACAGUGGGACUGAGAUACGGACCAGACUCCUACGGGAGGCAGCAGUGGGGAAUGUUGCACAAUGGGCGCAAGCCUGAUGCAGCGACGCCGCGUGGGGGAUGACGGCCUUCGGGUUGGAAACGCCUUGCGCUAGGGACGAAGCGCAAGUGACGGUACCUGGAGAAGAAGCACCGGCUAACUACGUG